Molecule: transfer-messenger RNA, 171 nt
Filed under: Bacteroidia bacterium
Lineage: Bacteria; Pseudomonadati; Bacteroidota; Bacteroidia
Description: partial transfer-messenger RNA
Rfam family: transfer-messenger RNA
About the family: Bacterial tmRNA, also known as 10Sa RNA or SsrA, is named for its dual tRNA and mRNA-like properties. Its role is to liberate the mRNA from a stalled ribosome.
Source: RNAcentral
AUAAACCUAGAGUAUCGUAAGUUUUGGGCGGUACUUGAAAAUAAAAAAACUAAGUGUUUUGUGGCUGUUUCUGGCCUAGCAAAACAUCGAAAAUUCAAUCAGGAAAUAAGCCUGUAGAAAGCUCUUUAGUUGCUUGUUUGGACCCGGGUUCGAUUCCCGGCGACUCCACAA